GCAUUAAAACAUUAGUUCCCAUAUGAUCAGGAAAGUUAAGCAACGUUGAUCCUGGCCAGUACCUAGAUGGAUGACCACUUGGGAAUACCAUGUGCUGUAAG
Molecule: non-coding RNA, 101 nt
Organism: Acanthosepion pharaonis
Lineage: Eukaryota; Metazoa; Mollusca; Cephalopoda; Sepiida; Sepiidae
Source: the annotation of a GenBank genome assembly